This 484-nucleotide ribosomal RNA is filed under the name uncultured bacterium. RNAcentral's name for it is "partial 16S ribosomal RNA". It matches the Rfam family "Bacterial small subunit ribosomal RNA", at positions 28 to 507 of the family's 1533-position model. The record is from RNAcentral.
AUUGAACGCUGGCGGCAUGCUUUACACAUGCAAGUCGAACGGCAGCGCGGGCUUCGGCCUGGCGGCGAGUGGCGAACGGGUGAGUAAUGCAUCGGAACGUGCCCAGUAGUGGGGGAUAGCCCGGCGAAAGCCGGAUUAAUACCGCAUACGACCUGAGGGUGCAAGCGGGGGACCGAAAGGCCUCGCGCUAUUGGAGCGGCCGAUGUCGGAUUAGCUAGUUGGUGGGGUAAAGGCUUACCAAGGCGACGAUCCGUAGCUGGUCUGAGAGGACGAGCAGCCACACUGGGACUGAGACACGGCCCAGACUCCUACGGGAGGCAGCAGUGGGGAAUGUUGGACAAUGGGGGCAACCCUGAUCCAGCCAGGCCGCGUGCGGGAAGAAGGCCUUCGGGUUGUAAACCGCUUUUGUUCGGGAAGAAAUCCUCUGGGCUAAUACCCCGGGGGGAUGACGGUACCGGAAGAAUAAGCACCGGCUAACUACGUG